CCUACGUGAGGCAGCAGUGAGGAAUAUUGGUCAAUGGACGCAAGUCUGAACCAGCCAUGCCGCGUGCAGGAAGACGGCUCUAUGAGUUGUAAACUGCUUUUGUACGAGGGUAAACGCAGAUACGCGUAUCUGUCUGAAAGUAUCGUACGAAUAAGGAUCGGCGAACUCCGUGCCAGCAGCCGCGGUAAUACGGAGGAUUCAAGCGUUAUCCGGAUUUAUUGGGUUUAUGGGGUGCGUAGGCGGUCGGAUAAGUUAGAGGUGAAAUCCCGGGGCUCAACUUCGGAAUUGCCUCUGAUACUGUGCGGCUAGAGAGUAGUUGCGGUAGGCGGAAUGUAUGGUGUAGCGGUGAAAUGCUGAGAGAUCAGACAGAACACCGGUUGCGAAGGCAGCUUACCAAGCUACUACUGACGUUGAGGCACGAAAGCGUGGGGAGCAAACAGGAUUAGAUACCCGAGUAGUC
RNAcentral lists this ribosomal RNA (460 nucleotides) under uncultured bacterium. Its description in RNAcentral is "partial 16S ribosomal RNA". It matches the Rfam family "Bacterial small subunit ribosomal RNA", at positions 338 to 795 of the family's 1533-position model. The record is from RNAcentral.